CAACGAUUUUUCGGAUAACAAUUCAAAUGAAGAAAU
Molecule: non-coding RNA, 36 nt
Filed under: Leptocylindrus danicus
Lineage: Eukaryota; Bacillariophyta; Leptocylindrophyceae; Leptocylindrales; Leptocylindraceae
Source: RNAcentral